GUUCCGACCUUGAAUAUGUGGACAUCUAUAAGUACCUAGGUGUCUGGCUAGACUGCAAACUCUCCUUCCAGACUCACAUCAAACAUCUCCAAUCAAAAAUCAAAUCAAGAGUCGGCUUUCUAUUCCGCAACAAAGCCUCCUUCACUCACGCUGCCAAGCUUACCCUAGUAAAACUGACUAUCCUACCGAUCCUCGACUUCGGCGAUGGCUUCCAACACUCUACUCAGCAAACUGGAUGCAGUCUAUCACAGUGCCAUCCGUUUUGUCACUAAAGCACCUUAUACCACCCACCACUGCGACCUGUAUGCUCUAGUCGGCUGGCCCUCACUACAUAUCCGUCGCCAGACCCACUGGCUCCAGGUCAUCUACAAGUCCAUGCUAGGUAAAGCUCCGCCUUAUCUCAGUUCACUGGUCACGAUAGCAACACCCAUCCGUAGCACGCGCUCCAGCAGGUGUAUCUCACUGAUCAUCCCUAAAGCCAACACCUCAUUUGGCCGCCUUUCGUUCCAGUACUCUGCUGCCUGUGACUGGAACGAAUCGCAAAAAUCGCUGAAGUUGGAGACUUUUAUCUCCCUCACCAACUUCAAACAUCAGCUAUCCGAGCAGCUAACCGAUCGCUGCAGCUGUACAUAGUCUAUAGGUAAAUAGCUCACCCAUUUUCACCUACCUCAUUCCCAUACUGUUUUUAUUUAUUUACUUUCCUGCUCUUUUGCACACCAAUAUCUCUACCUGUACAUGACCAUCUGAUCAUUUAUCACUCCAGUGUUAAUCUGCAAAAUUGUAUUAUUCGCCUACCUCCUCAUGCCUUUUGCACACAUUGUAUAUAGACUGCCCAUUUUUUCUACUGUGUUAUUGACUUGCUAAUUGUUUAUUCCAUGUGUAACUCUGUGUUGUCUGUUCACACUGCUAUGCUUUAUCUUGGCCAGGUCGCAGUUGCAAAUGAGAACUUGUUCUCAACUAGCCUACCUGGUUAAAUAAAGGUGAAAUAAAAAUAAAAAAUAAAUGAAGAACCAGGAAAACAUCAUCUAUACAUCUCCGCAGAGUGUGCAUGAAGAACCAGGAAUACAUCAUCUAUACAUCUCCACAGAGUGUGCAUGAAGAACCAGGAAAACAUCAUCUAUACAUCUCCGCAGAGUGUGCAUGAAGAACCAGGAAAACAUCAUCUAUACAUCUCCACAGAGUGUGCAUGAAGAACCAGGAAAACAUCAUCUAUACAUCUCCGCAGAGUGUGCAUGAAGAACCAGGAAAACAUAUCUAUACAUCUCCACAGAGUGUGCAUGAAGAACCAGGAAAACAUCAUCUAUACAUCUCCGCAGAGUGUGCAUGAAGAACCAGGAAAACAUCAUCUAUACAUCUCCGCAGAGUGUGCAUGAAGAACCAGGAAAACAUAUCUAUACAUCUCCACAGAGUGUGCAUGAAGAACCAGGAAAACAUCAUCUAUACAUCUCCGCAGAGUGUGCAUGAAGAACCAGGAAAACAUAUCUAUACAUCUCCACAGAGUGUGCAUGAAGAACCAGGAAAACAUCAUCUAUACAUCUCCACAGAGUGUGCAUGAAGAACCAGGAAAACAUCAUCUAUACAUCUCCGCAGAGUGUGCAUGAAGAACCAGGAAAACAUAUCUAUACAUCUCCACAGAGUGUGCAUGAAGAACCAGGAAAACAUCAUCUAUACAUCUCCGCAGAGUGUGCAUAAAGAACCAGGAAAACAUCAUCUAUACAUCUCCGCAGAGUGUGCAUGAAGAACCAGGAAAACAUAUCUAUACAUCUCCGCAGAGUGUGCAUGAAGAACCAGGAAAACAUAUCUAUACAUCUCCGCAGAGUGUGCAUGAAGAACCAGGAAAACAUAUCUAUACAUCUCCGCAGAGUGUGCAUGAAGAACCAGGAAAACAUCAUCUAUACAUCCACAGAGUGUGCAUGAAGAACCAGGACAACAUAAUCUAUACAUCUCCACAGAAUGUGCAUGAAGAACCAGGACAACAUAAUCUAUACAUCUCCGCAGAGUGUGCAUGAAGAACCAGGAAAACAUAUCUAUACAUCUCCACAGAGUGUGCAUGAAGAACCAGGAAAACAUCAUCUAUACAUCUCCACAGAGUGUGCAUGAAGAACCAGGAAAACAUAUCUAUACAUCUCCGCAGAGUGUGCAUGAAGAACCAGGAAAACAUAUCUAUACAUCUCCACAGAGUGUGCAUGAAGAACCAGGAAAACAUAAUCUAUACAUCUCCACAGAGUGUGCAUGAAGAACCAGGAAAACAUAUCUAUACAUCUCCACAGAGUGUGCAUGAAGAACCAGGAAAACAUCAUCUAUACAUAUCCACAGAGUGUGCAUGAAGAACCAGGAAAACAUAUCUAUACAUCUCCGCAGAGUGUGCAUGAAGAACCAGGAAAACAUAUCUAUACAUCUCCACAGAGUGUGCAUAAAGAACCAGGAAAACAUAUCUAUACAUCUCCACAGAGUGUGCAUGAAGAACCAGGAAAACAUAUCUAUACAUCUCCACAGAGUGUGCAUGAAGAACCAGGAAAACAUAUCUAUACAUCUCCACAGAGUGUGCAUGAAGACAGAAUCAAAACCAAAGAUUGAUCAGGAAGUUCAUAAUUCCCGCGAUUCCAUGGUAGAGCAUCUUUGGCACGGCAGGAUCAUUGACUACAGAAUACUCAGCUGUAUUGUGACACAACAGGACGCACUCCAACCUCUGAUUAAGAAUCGUGAACAAAUGGGUCAUUUUGUUAUGAACAAGCCAGAAGACAAUCAAAUAACUGGCCAAGUGGAAGUGGCUCAAGUGUUGGUACCAACUACAGAUGAACAUAUAGAUGAAGAGUCAGACGUCAACAUGGACGAUGACCAGUCGACGUUGUACCAACCAUAUUUUCCAGACCAUUGAACCAGUCAUGGGACACCACACUGAGAAAGGGGAUGCAAAGCUGUGGUUUGUACCAAAAGCCCCCUCUGGAUUGUGAUCUGAUGGCUGGAUUUGGGAAAUAUCUCCGUGACGACAACAACAUUCCCCAUUUCAAACAGGAGGUUUGUACAGAGAUUUUACUUUCAUUUAACUGUUUACAUAUUUUAAUGAGAAUUAAUAGAUUUUAAAGUAGUUAUUAACUAUGUAAUUAAUAUUAUUUUCAUGUUUCAUGCCGAGAGAGACAGAGAGGAUCUAUUACAUGAAUUUAUGUUUAUUUGUGAUGGCAGAGAGGGAUUUGGGUCACAGGUGUCACGCCUUGGUCUUAGUAUUUUGUGUUUUCUUUAAUUAUUUGUUCAGGCCAGGGUGUGACAUGGGGUUAUUGUAUUGUCGUAUUGGGGUUUUUGUAGGCAUUGGGAUUGUGGUUGAUUAGGGGUGUGUCUAGUAUAGGCUUGGCUGCCUGAGGCGGUUCUCAAUCAGAGUCAGGUGAUUCUUGUUGUCUCUGAUUGGGAACCGUAUUUAGGUAGCCUGGGUUUCACUGUGUAUUUCGUGGGUGAUUGUUCCUGUCUCUGUGUAGUUUCACCAGAUAGGCUGUAAUAAGUUUCGCGUUCCGUUUGUUGUUUUGUUUAUUCAGUUAUUUAAUGUAUCGUCAUUUCAUUCAUUAAAGACAU
Oncorhynchus keta (chum salmon) is the source of this 3564-nucleotide long non-coding RNA. RefSeq lists it as uncharacterized. The transcript is spliced from 3 exons. The record is from RefSeq and is a predicted model, not a curated record. Lineage: Eukaryota; Metazoa; Chordata; Actinopteri; Salmoniformes; Salmonidae.